Molecule: ribosomal RNA, 226 nt
Filed under: uncultured bacterium
Lineage: Bacteria
Description: partial 16S ribosomal RNA
Rfam family: Bacterial small subunit ribosomal RNA
Source: RNAcentral
UAACACGUGGGCAACCUGCCCCUGACUUUGGGAUAACGCUUCGAAAGAGGUGCUAAUACCGGAUAUGAGCUCCCUUGGCAUCUUGGGGGCUGGAAAGUUGUUCGGUCAGGGAUGGGCCCGCGGCCUAUCAGCUUGUUGGUGAGGUAAUGGCUCACCAAGGCGACGACGGGUAGCCGGCCUGAGAGGGCGACCGGCCACACUGGGACUGAGACACGGCCCAGACUCC